RNAcentral lists this long non-coding RNA (1617 nucleotides) under Salmo salar (Atlantic salmon). RNAcentral describes it as "lncRNA (ENSSSAG00000090932.1)". Lineage: Eukaryota; Metazoa; Chordata; Actinopteri; Salmoniformes; Salmonidae. The record is from RNAcentral.
CCGAUUUCGACACACAGGGUUUUUCAAAUGACACAUACAGUGACACUUUGCUGACCUCUUAACGCCACACAGGCUUUUACCCACAAACUUGUUAUGGACAUGUUAUAUAAAACUACAUAGUGUUAUCUAUCAAAACGACUUUCAAUUCCCAAAGGCCAGGCUUUGAAUAAGACUAAGGAGACAGCUGCAGGAAGACAAUCAGGCACUAUAGAGGCCUAGCAUUUGCGUCACAAAUCACCUAGCAACCGUACCAGCGCCAUGUUGAAAGUCCUCCAAUCGUACACAUGGCUGGCUGCAUUUUGCUACCACCUGAAACUUCAGGAAGAUUGCCCAUUAUUUCGUUUUUGUAAGGACCCAGAAAACGGAGGCAGUGGGAGAACUUAUUCAAAUACAGAGAGCUGUGAAACCCUGUCUGCAGAUGAAGAGGUCCCAAUGAAUGUCCCAAGAGAAUGAUUGUAUACCAUGGAUUAUAUGUGUACCUAUAUUAGCACAUACAGUUUAAAAGUCACACAAUGUAUAAACCUAUUACAACUGGAACAGGCCAACCCUGGUGGGUGUGCACGCUUCUGUUUCAGCCCAGCAUUAACACACCUGAUUCAAUGUAUCAAACCCAAUUAGUUAAUAAUCAAGUGUGCUAUUGCUGGGCUGGAAUGGAAGUCUACUCACCCAGUAGAUCAGGGAUCAGUGGAGUGAGGUUGGCCACCUCUGGUAUUGACUUUUUUAUUUUUUCACUUGAAAUUAUUAUUUAGUAAUAACCUACUUGUUACUAAAAUGUCUAAACUUUACAUAUGAAUUAGCUUACUUGUACACCUUUAAAUGAUAUGAAAGUGUUGAUUCUUUGAAGUUAAGUAUUUAAACUAGUUUCGAUGUUGAUUAAUAACAUCACAAUCUUGCAAUAAAGAGAGGAAGGGAAUCGGUCUCCAAUGUCUGUUUCUGUGUUGUAUUCUCAAAUGAACAUUACCUUGUCAUAAGCUCUCCAAUUAGUUUUAUUUGAUUGUCAUAAUUUUUUCAGGAUAUCAGCCAUGUGAACCCAUUUUGCAGCUGAUAACGGAAUGCAAUGCCAAUGCAGCCAUAGGCCUACAGCAAUGGUUCACAACUCUAGUCCUUGAGUACCCCCCAACAGCACAUUUUUUUCUGUAGCCCCGGAAAAACAUACCUGAUUCAACUCAGAGGGCCUGAUGAUUAGUUGACAAGUUAAAUCAGGUGUGUUUGUCCGGGGCUACAAUAAAACUGUACUGUUGGGGGUACUAGGGGACCGGAGUUGGGAACCACUGCCCUACAGUAUGAUGGCAUUAACCUUAUGGGAAUUUGCAAUGCACCCCUUGACAUUGUGCAUUUGAAGUAGAGAAUAGCUUAACUCACAUUGUUUAGCUAUAUGUUCUCAAUAUAAAAACAAUACCAGUAGACAAUGUGAGGCUAAUCAUUAUACUAGAUUUGGUACAUGCCUUGUGCUCACAUGAAAUUGUUUAGUGCAAAUCCAACCCUUGUAAUCUAGGUGGUGAAAUGUCUGGAAGUAGGAGAUGAUUGGAUCCUUCUCUUCAAACAUACAACUACUACCACCAAGUUCAAUGCCAGAUACUUUUCUCCCAGAAGGUCUGAGUGUCACUUGGAGGCGCU